This is a long non-coding RNA of Amphiprion ocellaris (clown anemonefish), 6118 nucleotides long. RefSeq lists it as uncharacterized. The record is from RefSeq and is a predicted model, not a curated record. The transcript is spliced from 5 exons. Lineage: Eukaryota; Metazoa; Chordata; Actinopteri; Pomacentridae.
CUCCGUGUUGUUCUCCAUGUUGUUCUCCGUGUUGGUCUCCGUGUUGGUCUCCGUGUUGUUCUCCAUGUUGUUCUCCGUGUUGGUCUCCCUGUUGGUCUCCAUAAAUUUCAAAUUUUUGCUGUAAUGAUUCUGCUAAAAAAAAAAAAACAUUAUUUUACAGAUAUUUUAAUUUAAAAAAUACUGUGUUCCCAUGUUAUUUACACAAAAUAACUUCAACAUAAAAUGAAACUAAAUUACCACAAAAAUACUCAAAAUUGAAACAAAUGAUGUGAAAUAACCUCAUAAACAGUGAAAUCACCACAAAUUACUGUAAAAAGAUGAAAGAACGCCACAAAAUGAUCAGAUUUUAUAAAAUCACAGAAACCAGAAUUAAUUUACAUUUUAACUGUAAAAAAAAAAAAAACAACAAAACAGGUCAACAUCAAAAGUCUGUAUUUUUACAAAUAAUUUUUAUUUGCAAAUAAAGUAAGACAUUCUUUAACAAAAUGUGACAAAAUAAAUUUCACAUUUUUACUGUAUUUGAUUCUUACAGAUAUUUUAAAUUUGUUUUUAAAUACUAUUUUCCCGUGUUAUUUAUGGUAUAUUUAUCUAAUAUUUUCUCUUUUAUUGUCUCAGACUGAUGGAGGCGACGUCUCGUUUUACAGAUUUGUUCCAGAGAAACAGGAAACCAGAAGCCCUCCAUUUGACAUUUGUUUUUGCAGAAGGAUAUUUGGUCCAUCUAUUGGAUUACUCAGGCUCCACCCCCUCCCACCCAAUCCAGCUCUUAGCCAAUUAACAUCAUCUUCAUCCUCCCCAACACACCUGACCUGCCUGUGGCUGUGCUAAUUAUCAGAGCUAGAAAAAGAAAAGGAUUUGCUGCUGGUUUCAGGGGGGUUUCCUGCGUACGUGAAUGUACAUGUAGCGUGAACGUCUCUGACAUUCAAUGAAGAAAUUAUAAUAAUUUAUCUAUUUCUUUUCCAGAGACCCUGUUGACUCAUUAGUGAACAAUGUUUAUAUAAUCUAGUGGCAGAAAAAACUCAACAAAUGGACAAAUAUAAAAAGAAAAUGUAAAAAAUCUCAGUCAAGUGGAAAAACCUCAACAAAUGUUCAAGUUGAAACUCAUUUAUGGUGUAGAAAACUAGCAAAUGUUAGUAAAAGUCAUUCAGAUAUCAUCCAUAUAAGGACAUCAUUUACGGGUCAUUCCAGAUAAAUUCAGUCUUUAUUAAUGAUCAGAGUUCUACCUUUAUACUGUGAAUAUUUUCAGAGUAAAGUAUUUUCAGAGUUCAAACUUCUUAAUUUGCUGUGUUGCUUUUUUUUCAACCAAAGACACAAGACCAACACAGAGCAGCCGAAAUCCCCACAAAAACACAAAAAAAAAUCAAACUCACAAGUAAUGAGGUGAAAUGACCAAAACAAACAAAACCAUCAACACAAAAAGGUGCAAAAUCCAUCCAUCCAUCCAUUAUCUAUACACCACUUAAUCCUCACUAGGGUCAUGGGGGGGCUGGAGUCUAUCCCAGCUGACUCAGGUGAAGGCAGGGGACACCCUAGACAGGUCACCAGUCUGUCACAGGGCUACAUACAGAGACAAACAAUCACUCUCACAUUCACACCUACGGGCAAUUUAGAAUGAUCAAUUAACCUCAGCAUAUUUUUGGACUGUGGGAGGAAGCCGGAGUACCCGGAGAAAACCCACGCAUGCACAGGGAGAACAUGCAAACUCCAUGCAGAAAGAUCCCGGGAAAGCCGGGACGUGAACCAGGGAUCUUCUAGCUGCAAGGCGAAAGUGCUAACCACUACACCACUGUGCAGCCCAGGUGCAAAAUCACUUUAUAAAAUGCAAAAUCGACAUAAAAAGGUGCAAAAUCACUUUGGAAAGAAAUGAAAGAUGCAAAAGCACCACUAAGACUCAAAAUGACCACAAACAUGCAAAAUCGACACAAAAAAAUGCAAAAUUACCACAAAAAGACACAAAAUCACCUCAAAAAGAGCCAAAACUACCCUGAAAGUUUCAAAUAUGCCAGGAAAACAUCCCAAAUCACUGCAAAAACAGACCAAAACUACCACAAAACAGGUGAAAUUGCAACAAAAACUCAAAUUUGGCACAAAAUACAUUCAAAAUAAAAACGGCCAAAAUUACCACAAAAUGUACCAAAAUCGCCAUGAAAAGUACCACAUUUACCACAAAAAGUAGCAAAAUUACUACAAAAAGUACCAAAAUUACUACAAAAAGUACCAAAAUCACCACAAAAGUAUCAAUAUUACCACUAAAAGUACCAAACUCAUCACAAAAAGUACCAAAACUACCACAAAAGGUAGCAAAAGCACCACAAACAUUACCAAAACUACCACAAAAAGUACCAAAAUCACCAAUGUAAAAUGUAAAACAGGACCCUGUCAAUCCCCCUCAAUACUGCUGGCUCCUGUUAUGGAAUUAGAGUUGUAAGAUUAGAAAAGUAAGAUGUGAUUAUAUUUUAGAAGGGCUCAGUGCAUCCAGAGAGGUCCUCCAGCAGCCUAGGCCUGUAGCAGCAGAACUAGGGGCAGAACUAAGGGACGUCCAAGAGGAAGACUCCAGCUGACCCCCUCAGGGUCCCCCAGUCAGUCCUAACUAUAAGAUUUGUCAAAAAGGAAGGUUUUAAGCCUGGUCUUAAAAUUAGAGAGAGUGUCCACCUCCAGAACCCAAACUGGGAGCUGGUUCCACAGGAGAGGAGCUGAUAAAGAAGCUCAUGAAGUUGUUACUGCUCAAAGCUAAAGGACUACAAGGUUCAACAGAGCUCUGACUCUUUGUCAGAGGAAUCUUUGUCCUCAGGAAUAGUUUUCAAAAUAGUUAAGAGUCAACAUAACAUUAGCAUUAAUUUAUUCCAAAAGUGACUUUUGUUUUUCAUUAUUCCAUCCAUAGAUUUUCCUGUCUUUGCUGGUUAACCAUCCAUGUUGAACAUGACGAUAUCAUGUGUUGAGGGACUGAAUGGAAUGAAUCUGAAACUGUUGGAUCAAUGGGAUGCCCUGUCCAACGGUGUACAGAAGCUGUUUGAAUCAGAGCACUGAGGAGGCUGAGGACCAGCAGGCUGAACGGAGGAAGCUGGAGCACAGCUGAGUGGAAUUAGCUGCUGCUUCCUCCAUCCUCAGUCCUCCGGUCCGUGACCCAGAAGUCGAUCUUGGACAAAAGAACGUCUCAGUUCCUAAAAUGACUCUGGAGGAGAUGCACAGGAAACACUAAACAGGCUGAACAGCAAAAAGAGCAGCCAAGUCAAUGAGCAGUCGGACGGAUUCCACAAACAUCUGCAGCAGAAGUCCAACCGAUGAGAAACAGCUGUGGAAGCAGACACCUGCACAACUACAGGUCUGCUGUUCAGGAAGUCCAGCACCCGACCUGACAGUAAACCGGCCAGAAUGAUGAGAGCUACUGCAGGAUUCAGACUCACCGGGGUCGAGGUAUUUGCCCAGGAACGUGGUGACAACUGAUCUGACACUUGGACCUACAGUUCCAGCCUCUGAGGUCUGAUAGAUGUAGCUCCACAGAAAUGGUUCUGUUAUUGAACACGACACUUGCCAGACAAAGGAGGUUUUUCCAUAUUAUUGGUGCUGGUUGUUGCACAUUCGUGACGUUUCUUAUUACAUCUCAGAUUGGGAAGUCUCAGCUUUGUCAUCUCUGUCGUGUAACGUAGGCGGAUGUUAACGUCCAGGCUGGCUCCUGUUACUGGUUUGGUUUGUCAUCAGCUCCAUGUGGGUUCUCCAGGCCAAUAAUACAUGUUCCACUCCUAUUAGCAGUGUUGAUGGAUGUUACCUUCAGGAUGUUUUCUGUGUACUGCCAUCUAUUUGUGGCAGCGGCAGCAGUUUCCUCACAAGCAGCAUGUGUUCUGUAAGCUGGAUGCUCCUCCUGCAGUUUAUCCUUCAGCUGAGCACAUCCCCUCCCAGCUGGAUGCUCAGCUCAGACUUACAGGCUGGCAUCUUUUCACAGCUGAAUGUUGACUGACGUUCCUGUAGGUGUCACUAGACGAGCGCUUCUUCAAUCUGGGGAUAAUCUGUUUUUCUGUAUAAUCCAUCUGAGAAGACUUUUAAAUGCUUCUCUAUAUUGCUGCUCUGUGUGGUCCAGAGGUCCUCGGUGUGUCAUUGGUUGGUGAUCAAGGCUUUAUAAAAAGCUCAUAAAUGGCAGAAUGCUGUGUGUAAAUUCAGCUAGUCUUUUCAGCCUCCAUAUCUGAGCAGGGUCUGAUCGAGCCCACAUGUCCACAGCCUCAUCCAGUGAUCCACACUUCAUCCAUUUAGUUGUUGUGUGACCAGGAGUUGGUGAUAAAGACACUUGGGAUGGCCAGUUUGUGGGGGUUAGCCUUUAGCUUCUGUGGAACUGGAUUAGUCAGUCCUGUGGUUUAGUUUAGCUGGAGCUGUUGUGUUGUAGAUGAAUAUUGAGAUCAUAUUGGUAGCAUCUUAAAUGAAGUACUCAAUGAUUGUGUGGAUCAAACUCUUUCAAGAUUUAGUUUGCAUGACCACUCCAGCCAGGACUUUGUUGUUACAUGCAGCUGUUUGCAGCCAAGCGAAGAUGAAAUGCUGCAUUAGUGUGUAAAACCUGUUCUUUGUGUUCAUGAUGUUCACAAGCGGGUAAAUGAGGCCUAUACAGUCUGGAACCAGCUGACUAGAUGGUGGUGAAGGACUGGAGAAGGAAACGCUGGAGAGCUUGCAGAUGGAACAGACCCUACCAAGCGCUGAAAGGUUGCAGAGAGGGCAAACUGGAUCCACACCAGCAACCGCUGAUGAUUCAUCAGGCGUCCAUCAGGAUCAGUAAGUGAACCAACACCCUCCCCUCAUCUGUGUGUGCCGGGGAGAGAGAGGACGCUGGUAACAAGAGUCUCUCAAGCUGCAAGAAGGCUGCACAAAUCAGGGCUGAGCUGAGGUCUCACAAUGAACACACUGUGGCAUAGAAGGGACGAAUAAGAUGCAAUCUGACUGUCCACUGCCAUCGUUGUCCUGCCAUGACAAAUGUUGCAUGGAUGUUUCUGGUAAAAUCAAUAACACACACCACAAUAAAACCCAGAACUGGCUGGUUCACCUAGCGUUAGCUUGCAGUGGUACAUAAACAGGAAGUAUAAUGCCCAACGCAAACUUCUUGGACAAGUAGAAACAUCUACACUGCAACAUCAGAUCUUCUGUAUCUGGAAGGCAGUGUGUGUCCUUACCCCUUCAUGAUGUUGUACGUGUCAGCAACAAGUUGUCUAAGUGUAGACAAGGCCUCAGCCUCUUUUUUGCCUGCCUUGAAGUCUCACUUUAAGAGCGACCUGUAGGCAACACAUCCAUGGCCUCAUCCAAUAGGAGAUCAGGAUCCUGAGGCCUUGAGCUGGAUGCUUCUGUCCAUCUGAGAUCUUCAUUUGGAGUUAGUAAGGGCUCCACUGCUGCCACCUCCAGCUGGCAUCCUGUCAUCUAUGCUUUGGCCAUGUAAAGCUCAUCAGGGUGUCACCAGACAAGUUCUUCAUUGUUAUGUAGCGAUGACCAAGAGCUGUGCUGGAGAUGAUCCUUUUCCUUGUACUCAGGCACAGCAUCCACUGGAGGAGACUUAUGAAGGCUUUGCUGUCCUCUUCCUCUGUGGCUUCCCUGGGUUUUUUUUACGAGUCUUCAGCAGCUCAUUGAGGUUGUUUAAAACCUCAUACAUGGCAGAGUUUUCCUUACACCUCAACCUGUCUUUUGAUUACCCUGUCAAGGCCUUUACGGAUCGCCACCAGUUGUACCUGCCACUGUUUCAAAGCUCCCCUUUGCCAGUAAAUCCAUAGUGUCUUCCUUUUGACUUGUGACAACUUUUUCAGUUUGUUCCUCAGUUGGACAGGAGCUCCAAGCUGGAUGCUCCACGUCUAGUUACAAGUUUGCUGGACGACACACUGUAGAUGGCUGCUGUCAUUUUUUUUCUGCUGGACUGUAGGAAAAAGAGAAAGGAAACGGAGAGCUAAGAAGUUCCACUUUCAGAAUUGUCUGUUUCAUAGCACCGAGCACAUGAAAAAGCUCCAGGAACUGAGGCUGAGAUGCUCUGACAAACAUUUACUUCUGCAAAAUAACGUGUUGUUCCCUCAACUUUUAGUUUAGUUGCUCAUGGUAGCGUCUCCAUUGGAGCUGGUUCACUACAGCUAUCAAACACGCUGCACUGUCCAAUAUUUAUGUA